UAGGGAAUCUUCCACAAUGGACGAAAGUCUGAUGGAGCAACGCCGCGCGAGUGAAGAAGGGUUUCGGCUCGUAAAACUCUGUUGUUAAAGAAGAACAUAUCUGAGAGUAACUGUUCAGGUAUUGACGGUAUUUAACCAGAAAGCCACGGCUAACUACGUGCCAG
This 164-nucleotide ribosomal RNA is filed under the name uncultured bacterium. RNAcentral's name for it is "partial 16S rRNA". It matches the Rfam family "Bacterial small subunit ribosomal RNA", at positions 355 to 511 of the family's 1533-position model. The record is from RNAcentral.